GAUCAAGCGAUCAAGGGCGCAUGGUGGAUGUCUUGGCGUUGGGAGGCGAUGAAGGACGUGGUAACCUGCGAUAAGCCUCGGGGAGGUGGUAACAACCGUUAUUACCCGGGGAUUUCCGAAUGGGGAAACCUGGCCGGUUAGAAUACCGGUCGCCCCCAGCUGAAUGCAUAGGCUGGAGGGAGCGAACGCAGAGAACUGAACCAUCUCAGUACCUGCAGGAAAAGAAAUCGAAGAGACUUCCUGAGUAGCGGCGAGCGAAAGGGAAUUAGCCCAAACCAUGUACGUGUAAGCAUGCAGGCGUUGCGUAUGUGGGGUCGCGGGAAACACAGUCAGGGGCUGCAAACCCUGUGCGGAGUUACAAAUCCGGCCCUAACCGAACAGACUGGAAAGUCUGGCCGUAGAAGGUGAAAGCCCUGUACGUGAAAGGGUGACGGACUCCGGUAUCUCUCCCAAGUACUGUCAGAUAGGAGGAACCUGGCAGGAAUUCAGGGAACCCACUCUCUAAGGCUAAGUAUUCCCAAG
This 522-nucleotide ribosomal RNA is filed under the name Myxococcales bacterium. Its description in RNAcentral is "partial 23S ribosomal RNA". It matches the Rfam family "Bacterial large subunit ribosomal RNA", at positions 1 to 480 of the family's 2925-position model. The record is from RNAcentral. Lineage: Bacteria; Pseudomonadati; Myxococcota; Myxococcia; Myxococcales.